This 253-nucleotide ribosomal RNA is filed under the name uncultured bacterium. RNAcentral describes it as "partial 16S ribosomal RNA". It matches the Rfam family "Bacterial small subunit ribosomal RNA", at positions 524 to 776 of the family's 1533-position model. The record is from RNAcentral.
UACGAAGGGGGCUAGCGUUGCUCGGAAUCACUGGGCGUAAAGCGCACGUAGGCGGGUUGUUAAGUCGGGGGUGAAAUCCUGGAGCUCAACUCCAGAACUGCCUUCGAUACUGGCGACCUUGAGUCCGGGAGAGGUGAGUGGAACUCCGAGUGUAGAGGUGAAAUUCGUAGAUAUUCGGAAGAACACCAGUGGCGAAGGCGGCUCACUGGCCCGGUACUGACGCUGAGGUGCGAAAGCGUGGGGAGCAAACCGG